This 2002-nucleotide long non-coding RNA is filed under the name Olea europaea subsp. europaea. The record is from RNAcentral. Lineage: Eukaryota; Viridiplantae; Streptophyta; Magnoliopsida; Lamiales; Oleaceae.
AGUUUUCACAACCUGUUCAUCAAACUGGUUCUUCUACAGUGCUCUCGACCGCCAAAGAAAUCUUCACUACACCCACUACUUCUCAAAACUCACAGAUCCCUGCGAAACCAUAAGAAGAAGAAACUCCUCUGCUAACGGAAGCGGUGUUGGAGGCGUGAUCUUUGGCACUCAGACGCUGAAUCUUCUCCAUCUCAUAUUAAUCGGCCCAGUGAUCGAAAACUCUAUCAAAACUUCAUAACUUCCUAUAGGGCAAACUCCCUCUUUCUCACUCGGCCAUGUGGAGAAAUUCGCUGAGUUUUUCAUCCAAACUCGCACACUCCAAUUCAAAUUAUUAACUCCACUCUUGUUCCGCACUUCCUCAAAACCUUCUUAUCGUGGCCUUCCUAGCCGAUCUAAUUCCACAAGCCUACAGUCCACAUUGACAGCCGUUCCGGUAGGUGGUCCGAUUUCAGUGUGGAAGGCUAAGGAUGUGGCAUAAUUGGCCCAGCAUUGCGACUUCUGUUAUUGGGAGCUCUCAAAAGCUCAUCUGAGGUGUGUUUAAACUGGUUUACACCUUUUUUUUUUUUUUCAACAAAUUUCAAUUUUGAGAUGUUGGAAUUUCGUGACCUCAAGCAUAAUGCUUGAAAUGUAGAUCCAUCUUAUUGGAGAAAUUGGUUGGUUUAGAACAUAUUUUAAGCGCAUUUUGCGGUCAAAUUGCUCAAUUUUCUGGUUGCUAAUGGAUUUCUAAUAUUUGUUUUUGCUAAUUGAAACGUGAUAUUAAUGUACUUUGUCAUGUGUAUUUGAGAGCUUCGGCAAUAUGUUCAGAUUUCAAAGAGCAAAUGUAAAAAUAAAAGAAGGCAUAUUGACUGUGAUUACCCUGUAUGUAUGUCUGUUUGCAAUAGUUUUUGUCACUUAAAAUAGAUCAAAGCUACUUUUAUUUGACAUAACUGGAUGAAGAAUUUACAACUUCUGCAUUUGGAGUAGACGCCCUAGAGGGUCAACCCCAGCCAAGUUGGUCGGGCAGUUGGACUAGCAAUCGUGAGGUUGCUAGUUCGAUUCCCGUUGGAGCUGCCUAUUGGCCUUCUUGGUUUGAGCCGGUCAGCUAUGGGUAACCUAGGCUGGUUUACCUCUUUGUGGUCCUUUGUCGGCUAGGAUCACAAGGCGGGGUUUACCUAGUGCGCACCUUUGGGUAGCAGCUGCGGGUUCCCUUGUCAACAAAAAAAGAGAAAGGUAGUAGUUGAUAAUCUGCACAACAUGCUACCUACAAUGCAUAGUUUUGUCCAUUUUCCUCCACUCUACUAUAAUUAAUUAUGAACUUUUUGUGCUUCCAGCCCUCAACUCUACUGCUGCCGCCGGCAGGUCGCCUUGAACAGGCAAGCAAUUUUGAUUUGCAUACACAUGGAAGAAUGUAUUCUUCAUUUGUUUAUUUUUUAUUUUUUUGUAAUAAAAGUGUUAAAAGUGCUGAUUUUAUUUUAUUUUAUUUAUUAUUAUUAUUAUUAUUUUUUUACAUGUUAUCUUGUUAAGUUGAAUUUUCUUCAAUUAACUUUGUGAUGUUAAAUUUCUUAUGUAAUAUGCCAGAAGUCAUAUCCUUAUUGGAACAGGUAAAAAUGGCCGGAGAGUAGAGCUUUCUCGCAAUUCUAGGGGUGAAAGUGGUGGUGGUGGCUAUGGUGGAGGGCAUGGUCAUUCUGGUUCUGACUCGAAAUGCUACGAGUGUGGUGAGCCUGACCAUUAUGCCCGUGAGUGCAGGAACUGUAGAGGUUCUGGAAGGCAUAAGGGUCAUACUCUCCCUAGAUAUUGCUGAAGCCCAAGCUAUAGUAGAAGGUAAUAUAUAUUAGGCUGCUAGGUUUUUGGUUUUUGGGAAAGAAUAAAGAACAAUCUCAACCGUUAUUUUUAACUCAAUGUUUGAAUAACGCUGUUGAUUGAAUCAAGAGUCUCAAUCCUCGCGAUCUUCUCCUCGAUGUCGAAGUUUUUAUCACCUAAGGUCUCGUCUACAGCAGGUCUCUUUACCAUGAAAGCAAUGAAG